UACGGAGGAUGCGAGCGUUAUCCGGAUUUAUUGGGUUUAAAGGGUGCGUAGGCGGGAUGCCAAGUCAGCGGUAAAAAUGCGGUGCUCAACGCCGUCGAGCCGUUGAAACUGGCGUUCUUGAGUGGGCGAGAAGUAUGCGGAAUGCGUGGUGUAGCGGUGAAAUGCAUAGAUAUCACGCAGAACCCCGAUUGCGAAGGCAGCAUGCCGGCUUCCUACUGACGCUGAAGCACGAAAGCGUGGGGAUCGAACAGG
Molecule: ribosomal RNA, 252 nt
Filed under: uncultured bacterium
Lineage: Bacteria
Description: partial 16S ribosomal RNA
Rfam family: Bacterial small subunit ribosomal RNA
Source: RNAcentral